UGGUCUCCUAAUCCCAUGCACUUUCCAUUACUGUCAGCUUCCUAAUUGCAUGCGGAUUUCCUUAUUCUCUAGAGCCAAGGAACAUCAACAUUCAGCUAAAGAUGCUGCUAAAUUCUGAAUAAAUACAACAAGUCAGCAAGGAAUCAUGUGGGACCUUUUAUUCCUAAUUUCAGAUGACGGCUUGCAUUAAACUCUGGCUCCUGGCCACUGCAGUACAUUGUGACCUUGAGGCACUGUGGGCACACUAGACAUUGCCACCACCCAAAGCCUCAUGCUGAUCCUUGAGAAGAGAGGUCGUGAAUUGUGCCCUUUCCUCAACCUCAGUCUUUCUCAACUGGCUGUUUCUUAAAGAAGCAGAGAGGGGAAGAGGUCCAUAGCUCCAGGCUGUGAACUUCCAGAAAUGCAAGCAAUCUUUCAAACAAAGAAACAAACAAACAAAACCAAAAACAUUCCUUACAGGAAGAUGAUCAUCGUAGACCAAGAAUGGAUGAACAAGGGUAAUUGUGAGAAGAAAAAUGAAAUAUGGGACAGAAAAUCCCAGGUCAAGUUGGAGGUCAGUUUUCAGGAACCAGGAUUUGGCCUGAAUUGUUGUUUUCAAAUCCUUAUCUGUUGACUCUUGAGGAAGGAAGGCAAAGAGACUCAAUAGAAGGCUCAGCAUUGUAUCUCAAGAAAGGUUUAUUUUGUCCAAAAAGAUACUUGGGAAUUGAACAUGAAUACGGGACACAGUCCAUGUUCAUAAAGGCCAUCAGCCCUCCAGAAGAGAGGAUGGAUCUGGAGAGAAGAGAUGGGAUUCCAUGAAGAGGAUCCAGUAGUUGGCUGGACCACACAACCCUGUUUCAGGAGGCAGUGGGAAGUUCGUUUGUGUCUUCAAGAUGUUGGAAGGGGCUUGAGUUCUUUCUUUCUUUCUUUCUUUCUUUCUUUCUUUCUUUCUUUCUUUCUUUCUUUCUUUCUUCCUUCCUUCCUUCCUUCCUUUCCUUCCUUCCUUCCUUCCUUCCUUCCUUCCUUCCUUCCUUCCUUCCUUCCUCCCUCCCUCCCUCCCUUCCUCUCCCUCUCCCUUAUUUUUUCAUCUAUAGCCUUAAUCCAGGGAGCUGCACAAUAUGCUCUUCAGUUUCCUUUCUUCCUUUAUUUUCAGUCAGCAGCAGAAGCUCUUGAGAGAAGCACUGUCUAAAUAUAAGAGUACAAUUAAGAGAAAUGCAUUCCUUUUCCUUAGGAAAACUUCCGUGAUGCACGGACACUUCUUACUCAGCAAGUUUAAUUGUUGCCUCUUUAAGGAAGAUUUCAUUUCCCCAGAGCUGAGGCAGAGGGAUGAUGCUAGGAGUCUGGUAAGCCCCUAAGAGUGAGAGAUAUGGCAUUUUUGUGGACAGAGAGACCUUACAGGACCAGCACUUCUCUUUCCCAAGAGGGUUGUGCUCUUCUGCAGUUUUAGAACAUGGUCCCCCUGUGAUUGCCUGGGACCUUCCUCCCAGGCGGGAGCUCACUUAAUCUGAUCUAACCUAAACUAUAGCUAUCAGGGUGUGAGGAACACCAUCUUCUAAAAAAAAUUAUUUCUUAUUAUAACCGCUUUUACUCUACAAAUUAAUGUGAUUCAUUAUAUUCAUUAAUAAAUGUUUCUUUAAUAAUGUCCACCACUCAACUUUCUUAGCCUUUUUUACCUUCUUUUCUCCAAAUCUGUAAUAAGCCAGAUCUACUUUCAGGCCACCCCUCCCCAACUCUGUGCCCACCGCUGCCACCCCCACCCUCCCCCUGACUAUUGUUUUGUUUCCGUGUAAGAAUGUAAACUUCUCUUUCUGUGUGGAAACACUUUCAGCCCAGGGUGCCAUGCUCAUCCCAGAUGGACCCAAGACACCCAUUUCUUCAUUCGCAACAAAGAGUGAGCUAACAUCUAGGGAAUGCAGUUGGACUUCAUAGAAGAAUAAUAUCAGGGGACUUGGGCUCCAGCCCUAGCUCCGUUAUUCAGUGAAGCUCAGAGAUUGUUAAUGAUCAUGGUGCGUCCAAGUUCUCUGAGCUAAAUCUACAACUGGUCAAUCGACGGGAAUUGGAUCGCACUCUUCAAGGUCCUUUGAACUCUAACAUUUUGUGUCUGAGUGUGAUAUAUGGUGACCUUCCAAUGCUCUCAAGUAUUUGCCUAUUUUGUCUAAUUUCCUCUCUUAUACCCCAUUUUCUGUAGAGGAUUUUGAAGGGCUUAGACUGGUGGCACAUAAAGCCACUAGUUUUCAGAAUAAGAAAACACUUCCUUGAGCAUUUUGCUUAUAGUUUAUGACAUAAUUUUAAUUUUAAAAUCAAGUAAGAAUGACAGGAUUCUUAAAGCCUGGUGUGGUAAUGUAUACCCUUAAUUCCAGCACUCUGGAAACAGAGAUAGGUAGGUCUAUAUGAGUUCCAGGUAAGCCUGGUUUACAUAGUGAGUUCCAGGUCAGGCAAGACUACCUACUGAAAUUCUGUUUCACAAAACAAAACAAUAAAACAGUAACGACAGGAUACAGAGUGUAGAGUGUCUGAGAGCUCAGAAUGUCCAACUCUAUGCAUAUGCUAGAAAAUGAUCUUCCAUGAGAAGAUGCUGUGCCCUGGGUAUGUGAUGGAACCAUGCUGGUGUUAUCUCUGGACAUGUGUUUACAGCAUGCUCAGUGAAGAGUGGUACCCUCAGAAGCAUAGCUGGAUAGGAAGAUGUGAGAUGAAAGCAUGAAGGGAAAUAGAUCUACACAAUAGGCUAGCUUUCUGUCAACAUGCCCAAGGUAUAGUCUCUGUUUCAUAUGAUGAUGAUGAUGACGGUGAUGAUGAUAAUGAUAAUGAUAUAAACAUUUUCCUGCCCUUUGGUAUUGCUCUCAUUUGUCCUUAAAUACAGUUAAUUACUUUUGAAUAUAGCUAGAAUCUUACAUUUAAAGUAUUUCUUUCCACUCAAGUAGCACCCAUUCUCAAAACCCAACUUUUUAGAAACUUUUAUACUUCUUUUAAACUUUGGUCACAUUUCCACAAAAAAUUAUCUCUCAAAAAUGCUCAAAUAUUUGGCAGUGGUAACACAGAAGGAGCCCAGUGAUGGCCAAAGAGGGGAAAGUAUGACUCAACUUUCUCAGAACUAUGGUUUUCAACUAAUCAGUCCAGAGAGACAGACAAAGGGACUUAGCAACCUGCUCUACCAACCAUGUUCUUUUCAUCAUCUAUGCCUAGUUACAUGUCACACAUUGACAUGUAACUAGGCAUAGAUAAAAUUAUCCAGUGUCCCUGGCUGUAAGUCUCAAAGUCCUAAAUAGGCUGUAUGUGAGUCCAGCUUCUAUUUAGGCUUAUGAAAUAUGAGCUAAUAAUUUUUAUGUUCACUUUCUCACCUUCACAACUCACAGGUUAGAGCAAUAAAGAGAGCAGUAGUUUGAGUUGGUGGACAGUGAUGGAAACUGGGGAUUACCAGGAGAAGUCCUGGGCCUCUUUAAGAAUUUGCUAAACGCAUGAAA
This is a long non-coding RNA of Mus musculus (house mouse), 3440 nucleotides long. RefSeq annotates it as RIKEN cDNA C530043A13 gene. The record is from RefSeq and is a predicted model, not a curated record. The transcript has 4 exons. Lineage: Eukaryota; Metazoa; Chordata; Mammalia; Rodentia; Muridae.